This 497-nucleotide ribosomal RNA is filed under the name uncultured bacterium. RNAcentral describes it as "partial 16S ribosomal RNA". It matches the Rfam family "Bacterial small subunit ribosomal RNA", at positions 28 to 507 of the family's 1533-position model. The record is from RNAcentral.
GAUGAACGCUGGCGGCGUGCCUAAUACAUGCAAGUCGAGCGAACGGACGAGAAGCUUGCUUCUUUGUUGUUAGCGGCGGACGGGUGAGUAACACGUGGAUAACCUACCUAUAAGACUGGUAUAACUUCGGGAAACCGUAGCUAAUACCGGAUAAUAUUUUGAACCGCAUGGUUCAAAAGUGAAUGACGGCCUUGCUGUCACUACUAGAUGGAUCCGCGCUGCAUUAGCUAGUUGGUAAGGUAACGGCUUAUCAAGGCAACGAUGCAUAGCCGACCUGAGAGGGGGGUCGGCCACACGGGAGGGGGGGCAGGGACCAUGCGCCUACGGGAGGGAGCAGUAGGGUAUCUUCCGCAGUAGGGGGAAACCUGGCGGAGCGGCGCGACGUGAGAGGUGGAAGUGUUCGGAUCGGAAAACUCUGUUAUUAGGGAAGAACAUAUGUGUAAGUAACUGUGCACAGCGUGACGGUACCUAGUAAGAAAGCAACGGCUAACUACGUG